This 469-nucleotide ribosomal RNA is filed under the name uncultured bacterium. RNAcentral describes it as "partial 16S ribosomal RNA". It matches the Rfam family "Bacterial small subunit ribosomal RNA", at positions 28 to 508 of the family's 1533-position model. The record is from RNAcentral.
GACGAACGCUGGCGGCGUGCUUAACACAUGCAAGUCGAACGGAAAGGCCCUGCUUUUGUGGGGUGCUCGAGUGGCGAACGGGUGAGUAACACGUGAGUAACCUGCCCUUGACUUUGGGAUAACUUCAGGAAACUGGGGCUAAUACCGGAUAGGAGCUCCUGCUACAUGGUGGGGGUUGGAAAGUUUCGGCGGUUGGGGAUGGACUCGCGGCUUAUCAGCUUGUUGGUGGGGUAGUGGCUUACCAAGGCUUUGACGGGUAGCCGGCCUGAGAGGGUGACCGGCCACAUUGGGACUGAGAUACGGCCCAGACUCCUACGGGAGGCAGCAGUGGGGAAUAUUGCACAAUGGGCGGAAGCCUGAUGCAGCAACGCCGCGUGCGGGAUGACGGCCUUCGGGUUGUAAACCGCUUUCGCCUGUGACGAAGCGUGAGUGACGGUAAUGGGUAAAGAAGCACCGGCUAACUACGUGC